AAGGAGCCAUUUCAGGCACAACUCAACAAGCCUGGGAGCUGCCGAUCUGCCCGCCCAAGCGGCUCCGCAGCGGCCGGGGCAGCUCAGGAAUGGCUCCCCUGGGCUUCCCCGGUCCCGCCCCGCCCGGGCCGUGAGUGCCCGGCCCCGCCCCGCAGCCGUGCCCAGGAAGCGGGAGCAGGAAGCUGUGGGGCCGCGGGGAUGGUGGGCAGCGGCCCGGCGGUAUGGAAUGGCAGAACUGGUAGAAGCAGGAUACGAUGUUCGCCAACCAGACAAAGAAAAUGUGACUCUUCUUCAGUGGGCAGCAACAAACAGCAGACAGGAGGAGCUGGUGAAAUAUUACAUUUCCAAAGGUGCGUAGUGGAUCAGCUUGGUGGAGAUUUGAAUUCUGCGCCCCUGCACUGGGCCAUUAGGUAAUGCUGCUUGCAACCACUAGUUGCAAAUCUCUCGGUAUUGACAGCUGUGGUAGCGUUUUCUGAGAUCCGCAGAACAAAGCACUGCUUGGCUGGAGAAAACAUAUGCUGAAAUAAUUCUUCUGGGAAAACUUGUCCGAGUGCAAAUUCUCCCAUUGGAAGAUCAGUGUUUUCUUCUGGAUGGUCAGUCUUUUGCCAGAGUCAGAGACUUGGAUGACUGCUCAGAGGAGAAACUACUGUAGAAUAACCUCUGUAUUCUAAAUGAACACUUUGCCCUAGGCUCAUUCAUUAAGGUAUAUAUUUAAUAUAAUUUGCUGAAAAAGCCAUGAGAAUCUGAGAGAAAACUGGUUUUUGUGUGGUCUCUAUGAGAACUAUAAGGGCAAUGCUUUCAAUAAAAUAUCAGGUUUUUAAAUCAUCUCUAUAGUUUCACUUCACACCUCGUUAUAGACAAGGACACCUUCCCAGGGGACAGCAGCAUCCAAAGGAGCUGUGCAGGGAUGUGCAGAUGCCAAAAGGGACUCUAGGGCAGUUGGACACGCUCCAGCGGGCUCAGCCCCCCGUGCUGGGGCAGGGAAAGAGCAUGAGGGGACCUCCGCUGCAGAGGAAGGAGUGGCAGGGACAGGGGAUGAAGUGAUGGCAGCAAAUGUCAGGAAGGAGGGGACAGAGGGAUAUUGGUGGGGAAAAGGGAGACACAAG
Molecule: long non-coding RNA, 1106 nt
Filed under: Corvus moneduloides (New Caledonian crow)
Lineage: Eukaryota; Metazoa; Chordata; Aves; Passeriformes; Corvidae
Description: lncRNA (ENSCMUG00000019620.1)
Source: RNAcentral